UAUUCUUCAGAUUUGAUGUUGCUGCUGGUGCUGGAGCCUCAAAAAGAACCUGUGAAGCUGGUUGCUACUGUUCAACAGUUCAGAAUUAAAAUAGUUGUUACUGUACAACUGCAUUAUUGCACCCCUUCUUGUCGUAGCCUCUACAUGAGGUGAGCCCUUCUUGUCGUAGCCUCUACAUGAGGUGAGUUUCAAAGUUGGUGUAUGAACUGAUGAAAUUAGCGAUAAUCAAUGUUCACAUGUGCUAUUGAGUUAUUUUUGCACACCGUUUGGCAGUUAUCAUGCUUAUUACUAUCCUACAAAAUUAUUAUCCCAUCUUUUGUAUUUAUGCCAGAUCGAAGCUAACUGCCUGGGGAGCACAAAAGCGAAUGAAUCAUGCUAAUAACAGGUUGUAUUUUGGCAGUUCUCAUCUGGACUUCCACCUAGACCAACUGCAUGACAUGUAGAAUACCAAAAUUAUAACCAGG
This 464-nucleotide long non-coding RNA is filed under the name Zea mays. RNAcentral describes it as "long non-coding RNA (ZMAY_LNC001927)". Lineage: Eukaryota; Viridiplantae; Streptophyta; Magnoliopsida; Poales; Poaceae. The record is from RNAcentral.